Molecule: unclassified non-coding RNA, 340 nt
Filed under: uncultured Cortinarius
Lineage: Eukaryota; Fungi; Basidiomycota; Agaricomycetes; Agaricales; Cortinariaceae
Description: sequence contains ITS1
Rfam family: 5.8S ribosomal RNA (bases 1-105)
Source: RNAcentral
GAAAUGCGAUAAGUAAUGUGAAUUGCAGAAUUCAGUGAAUCAUCGAAUCUUUGAACGCACCUUGCGCUCCUUGGUAUUCCGAGGAGCAUGCCUGUUUGAGUGUCAUUAAUAUAUAUCAACCUUCUCUCUUGUAGUGAGUGGUUUGGAUGUGGGGGUUUGCUGGCCUCUUUUAAAAAAAGGGUUCAGCUCUCCUGAAAUGCAUUAGCAGAACAACCUGUUCAUUGGUGUGAUAACUAUCUGCGCCAUUGAAUGUGAAGGGGCAGUUCAGCUUUCUAACAGUCCUUGGACAAUCCAUUAUUAAUGUGACCUCAAAUCAGGUAGGACUACCCGCUGAACUUAA